CACGGGGGGAGCAAGCGUUGUUCGGAAUUACUGGGCGUAAAGCGCGUGUAGGCGGCCCGCUAAGUCUGAUGUGAAAGCCCGGGGCUCACCCCCGGAAGUGCAUUGGAGACUGGCGGGCUCGAGUCCCGGAGAGGAGGGUGGAAUUCCUGGUGUAGCGGUGAAAUGCGUAGAUAUCUGAAGGAACAUCAGUGGCGAAAGCGACUUCCUGGACCAAUACUGACGCUCAUGUGCGAAAGCGUGGGGAGCAAACAGG
RNAcentral lists this ribosomal RNA (253 nucleotides) under uncultured bacterium. Its description in RNAcentral is "partial 16S ribosomal RNA". It matches the Rfam family "Bacterial small subunit ribosomal RNA", at positions 524 to 776 of the family's 1533-position model. The record is from RNAcentral.